This 899-nucleotide ribosomal RNA is filed under the name uncultured Deferribacteres bacterium. RNAcentral describes it as "bacterial SSU rRNA". It matches the Rfam family "Bacterial small subunit ribosomal RNA", at positions 53 to 927 of the family's 1533-position model. The record is from RNAcentral. Lineage: Bacteria; Pseudomonadati; Deferribacterota; Deferribacteres.
UCAUGCGAGUCGAACGAGAAAGUCACCUUCGGGUGACGAGUACAGUGGCGAACGGGUGAGUAACACGUGGGCAAUCUGCCCCUAGGUUUGGGAUAACACUUCCAACGAGGUGCUAAUACCGAAUGACAAGGCGAGUUGAUGACUCGUUUUUAAAGGUGGCCUCUACUUGUAAGCUGCCGCCUAGGGAUGGGCCCGCGUCGUAUUAGCUUGUUGGUAGGGUAACGGCCUACCAAGGCGACGAUGCGUAGCCGGCCUGAGAGGGUGAACGGCCACACUGGCACUGAGAUAAGGGCCAGUCUCCUACGGGAGCCAGCAGUCUAGAAAUUUGCACAGUCGCCGAAAGGCGGAUGCAGCGACACCACGUGGAGGAUGAAGCCCCUCGGGGUGUAAACUCCUGUCAGAAGGGAAGAAGGCGCGGGCGUUAAUACCGCUCGUUGCUUGACGGUACCUUCAGAGGAAGCUCCGGCUAACUACGUGCCAGCAGCCGCGGUAAUACGUAGGGAGCGAGCGUUGUUCGGAUUUACUGGGCGUAAAGGGCACGUAGGCGGGUAUGCAAGUCGGUUGUGAAAUCCUCUGGCUCAACCAGAGAACUGCAGCCGAAACUGCACACCUUGAGUCCAGCAGAGGGAAUCGGAAUCCCAGGUGUAGCGGUGAAAUGCGUAGAUAUCUGGGAGAACAUCAGUGGCGAAGGCGGAUUCCUGGGCUGGUACUGACGCUGAGGUGCGAAAGCUAAGGGAGCGAACAGGAUUAGAUACCCUGGUAGUCUUAGCCGUAAACGAUGGGUACUAGGUGUUGGGGGACAUUGACCCCCUCAGUGCCGUAGCUAACGCAUUAAGUACCCCGCCUGGGGAGUACGGCCGCAAGGCUGAAACUCAAAGGAAUUGACGGGGACCCGCACA